Molecule: microRNA precursor, 70 nt
Organism: Lottia gigantea (owl limpet)
Lineage: Eukaryota; Metazoa; Mollusca; Gastropoda; Lottiidae
Rfam family: mir-34 microRNA precursor family
About the family: Human mir-34a was discovered computationally and later experimentally verified. The mature sequence is excised from the 5' arm of the hairpin.
Source: Rfam
GGUUCUGUGGCAGUGUGGUUAGCUGGUAGUUCAUGAUUUAAAACAACCACUAUCUACAUUGCCCCGAAAA